RNAcentral lists this ribosomal RNA (253 nucleotides) under uncultured bacterium. RNAcentral's name for it is "partial 16S ribosomal RNA". It matches the Rfam family "Bacterial small subunit ribosomal RNA", at positions 524 to 776 of the family's 1533-position model. The record is from RNAcentral.
UACAGAGGUGGCAAGCGUUGUUCGGAAUUACUGGGCGUAAAGGGCGCGUAGGCGGUUCGUUAAGUCCUGUGUGAAAUCCCCCGGCUCAACUGGGGAACUGCACAGGAAACUAGCGGGCUUGAGUCCGGUAGGGGACCACGGAAUUCCUGGUGUAGCGGUGAAAUGCGCAGAUAUCAGGAGGAACACCGGUGGCGAAGGCGGUGGUCUGGGCCGGCACUGACGCUGAGGAGCGAAAGCGUGGGUAGCAAACAGG